UAUAUUUACAAUUGAUAGCACAUGUUAGCCAGAAAGUCUGGCUUGGAAUACCUGUCCCUGCCACUCACAAACUUGGUGACCUUGGGCAGGUUUCUUAGCCUCUUUUUUUCCAUGUGGAUACCCACUUGUUCCUGCACCAUUUGAUGAAAACACAAUUCCCCCUUGAAUUGUUUUCCUGUAUCUGUCGAAAAUUGAUUGAUCAUAUAAGUGUGGUUCUCCUUCUGAAAUUUCUACUCUGUUCCGAUGACUUAUUUGUUUAUCCUUGUGCC
This 269-nucleotide long non-coding RNA is filed under the name Homo sapiens (human). RNAcentral's name for it is "non-protein coding lnc-TERF2-1:1". Lineage: Eukaryota; Metazoa; Chordata; Mammalia; Primates; Hominidae. The record is from RNAcentral.